UGCGGGAAACAGGAGAACUGCAAUGAGUAAGGUACGGAAAGUGAGAGGUGUUGGUUGGGACAUAUCUGCUCUUGGAAACGGUAAGAGAUGAGCUGUUCUAUUUUAGAAUGUUCAGAACUUAAGUGAUGCAUUUUCUUCCAAAGCUGUAUUAAUCCAUUCAGUUGUGCUCAUCUCAGUGCAUACUGUCAUCCAGAGUAAAAAUGCUUUUGCUACUGUGUUCUGAUCUUUUGCAUCAUUCCAGCAACUUGGGGAGGAGCGAAACUGUCUGAUGUCCUUGAGUUAGUUGGAAUACCUAAACUCAGUUCAGUUUCAUCUUUAGGAGGGAAGCAUGUUGAGUUUGUUAGUGUUGACAAGUGUAAAGUGAGUAUAUUGGUCAUAUUAACUGGCAGCAGCUUUUAGGGUCACCACUGAUCUCAUGUUGUUUGUCUUUCAGGAGGAAAAAGGUGGUCCUUAUACUGCAUCUAUUCCAUUAAAGCAGGCAACAGAUCCUGAUGCUGAUGUAUUACUUGCAUAUGAAAUGAAUGGAGAGGUGAGCAAUUGUGACCUUUCUUUUCAUAACCGAAAUUUUGUUUUACAUAGUCUUCAAUCUAAUGUUGAAGUCUGUUUUAAGUAGUUUUUUUCGCGAUGCUGUUAUCCCAGUUAGACAUCUUGUUUCCCUUGUCAUUUAAUCUGGAUGUGUUCUGUACUGUGUCUUCACAUGUUAUAAGUUAUCAUAUAUAGAUCCUCAAUCGUGAUCAUGGAUACCCACUCCGUGUUGUUGUUCCUGGUGUUAUUGGUGCACGUUCUGUAAAAUGGCUGGACAGUAUCAACAUAAGCGAGGAAGAAUGCCAGGUUUUCAGAAAAUAUGAAUGCUAUGCCUUUUCAACUUUAUUUUUCAAUGUUCAAAUCUGACUGCUAUUCUCGACCAGGGUUUUUUUACGCAAAAAGAUUACAAAAUGUUUCCACCAACCGUGGACUGGGACAAUAUUGAUUGGUCAACUAGAAGGCCACAGAUGGACUUCCCUGUACAGGUAUACGACAUUAUCAAUUCAUCUAUGCUAAUCUGUUCUGCUUGGCUUCUGGAAAACUUAUCUAUCUUACUUUUGAUCAAGUAGUCUGCUAUCUGUACACUGGAAGAUGUAGAUGUUAUCAAGGAAGGAAAGGUUAGUGUUACUUCCUAAUAAUUUACUCUGAUAUUGCAUCCUGUGUGCGUAAUAUGGGCUAGAAUAAAAUCUUAUUAAUGCACGGCUAUCAUCACUUGCUGCAGGCUAGGAUUGCUGGAUAUGCACUUUCAGGUGGUGGCCGUGGCAUUGAGAGAGUAGAUAUAUCUGUUGAUGGGGGUAAAACCUGGGUUGAGGCUCGCAGAUAUCAGAAAGACAACGUGCCAUACGUAUCUGAUGGACCCCAAAGUGAUAAGUGGGCUUGGGUCCUCUUUGAGGCUACAUUAGACAUACCAGCAAAUGCUGAGAUAGUAGCAAAGGCGGUAAGUGAAACCCAUCGCAACCCACUGUCUCACUAACUUUUGCUGCUUUGCAUAAAACAGGUUGUGAAAAUGCAUCUUGUGGACUGCAGGUGGACUCAGCUGCGAACGUCCAACCUGAAAACGUGGAAGACAUAUGGAACCUGAGAGGAAUCCUCAACACAUCUUGGCAUCGGAUCAAAAUACAGAAUUCGUCGUGCGUUGGAAGAUCUAAGCUGUGAAAUAAGAACACGCUGCUGAUCGCUUGGAGCAAUCGUGGUGGUGAUCCUUGCAAGUGUUACCACAAGCGUUACCAUUGU
Molecule: long non-coding RNA, 1758 nt
Filed under: Setaria viridis
Lineage: Eukaryota; Viridiplantae; Streptophyta; Magnoliopsida; Poales; Poaceae
Description: long non-coding RNA (SVIR_LNC007495)
Source: RNAcentral